GAACUUGAUAAAUAUUUUCUUUGUUUUCGUUUUGGUACCCGCCUUACUGAUGGCGCUCGUCCUAUCAGAAGUUACUGCGGAAGAUUCAGCGGAUAGUUUAGUUUUCUUGAAGAGGGAUAUCAACAAUGGGAAACUUCUGAAAACCGUAACCAUUGGAAAAGGCAUUAGUACCUUAAUUGCAAAACGUAUAAGACCGCAACCAAUUUGGUCUUAAAUUUAACCUUUGUCAGAUUUUUUAAAUAAAUCCUCGCACAUAACAAAA
Molecule: long non-coding RNA, 262 nt
Organism: Bactrocera tryoni
Lineage: Eukaryota; Metazoa; Arthropoda; Insecta; Diptera; Tephritidae
Exons: 2
Source: RefSeq, a predicted model, not a curated record